CCUACGGGUGGCAGCAGUGAGGAAUAUUGGUCAAUGGGCGGGAGCCUGAACCAGCCAAGUCGCGUGAAGGAUGACUGUCCUACGUAUUGUAAACUUCUUUUGUCGAGGAACAAAGUCAGACACGCGUCUCCUUCUGAAUGUACCCUAUGAAAAAGCAUCGGCUAACUCCGUGCCAGCAGCCGCGGUAAUACGGAGGAUGCGAGCGUUAUCCGGAUUUAUUGGGUUUAAAGGGUGCGCAGGCGGGGGGUCAAGUCAGGUGUGAAAUUUUGGGGCUCAACCCUAAGACUGCAGUUGAUACUGGUAGUCUAGAGUAGGGUAGAGGUAGGCGGAAUUCGUGGUGUAGCGGUGAAAUGCAUAGAUAUCACGAAGAACUCCGAUUGCGAAGGCAGCAUACCGGACUGAUACUGACGUUGAUGCACGAAAGCGUGGGGAUCGAACAGGAUUAGAUACCCCGGUAGUC
RNAcentral lists this ribosomal RNA (460 nucleotides) under uncultured bacterium. RNAcentral describes it as "partial 16S ribosomal RNA". It matches the Rfam family "Bacterial small subunit ribosomal RNA", at positions 338 to 795 of the family's 1533-position model. The record is from RNAcentral.